ACUUCCGGAGUAACCGGAAGUUCCUAUGUUCUUUAUUGUACUCUCGGUGACGUCCACCCAGUUUAAAUUAAAGUUCCCGGAUUUUUGUGGGCGCCUCACCCGCCCCUCGUCCCCCUGCUGUGUCCGUAUAUCGAGGCGACAGGGUUAAGGGUUAAGGGAAGGGGGACGCCUGAUGGGUUAAUGAGCAAACUAAAGUGUUUUCUUUUCCAGGAUCUUUUUUGAGUCGCAAUUGAAGUACCACCUCCCGAGAGUGAUUGCUUCCCCACGCGAGGUAGAACCUUUGCUAUCCUGUUCACCACUCUACCUCCAGUGCUAGCACAGCAUUUGGCUCAUGCCUACUCAGUGUGAAGGUGAUGAGAAUGAAAACCUUUGUGAUGAUCCACUUCCGCUUAAUGAAUGGUUCCUAGUCUCCUCUUCCUCAGACCAAAAGCCAGAGGCAAGAAUGCCCUCAUUCACACCCCAGCGGUCUAUACCUCCAGCAGCAAGUCGAGUGAGCAAGUGAUGUCCUGAAAGGCCCCAUGGAUCAGUGGAAUGGAGCGGGCAGGAAGACUUAGUGCUCCUGAAACAAGGAAUCCAGAAUCUGGGAGAAGGAUGGCUCAGUGGGGCUUUCAAGGGACAAGCGUGGGGGUUGAAGGGGUCACUGUCCCUAUACCAAAUCUGAAAAUAUUGUGACCAGGACCCAUUCUGUCCAACUCGUCUAUUUCAGACGGCAAAGCAAAACUAUGUUCAAGGCCACAUGCAAAGCUACUCCCUGAGGAAAGAGUCACAGAUAAAAUGGGGGCAUGAGUAGUAUGGCCAGGACAAACGCAGUGCAGCACAGAGAUUCAGACCCUGACAGCCAUGCCUGUGCAGGCAGUGAUGACAGUGACAUGUGCUUUUGUGGACAUGCACAAAAGUGAG
Chlorocebus sabaeus (green monkey) is the source of this 900-nucleotide non-coding RNA. The record is from RefSeq and is a predicted model, not a curated record. Lineage: Eukaryota; Metazoa; Chordata; Mammalia; Primates; Cercopithecidae.